Molecule: ribosomal RNA, 497 nt
Filed under: uncultured bacterium
Lineage: Bacteria
Description: partial 16S ribosomal RNA
Rfam family: Bacterial small subunit ribosomal RNA
Source: RNAcentral
GAUGAACGCUGGCGGCGUGCCUAAUACAUGCAAGUCGAGCGAACAGAUGAGGAGCUUGCUCCUCUGACGUUAGCGGCGGACGGGUGAGUAACACGUGGAUAACCUACCUAUAAGACUGGGAUAACUUCGGGAAACCGGAGCUAAUACCGGAUAAUAUAUUGAACCGCAUGGUUCAAUAGUUAAAGACGGUUUUGCUGUCACUUAUAGAUUGAUCCGCGCCGCAUUAGCUAGUUGGUAAGGUAACGGCUUACCAAGGCAACGAUGCGUAGCCGACCUGAGAGGGUGAUCGGCCACACUGGAACUGAGACACGGUCCAGACUCCUACGGGAGGCAGCAGUAGGGAAUCUUCCGAAAUGGGCGAAAGCCUGACGGAGCAACGCCGCGUGAGUGAUGAAGGUCUUCGGAUCGUAAAACUCUGUUAUUAGGGAAGAACAAAUGUGUAAGUAACUAUGCACGUCUUGACGGUACCUAAUCAGAAAGCCACGGCUAACUACGUG